RNAcentral lists this ribosomal RNA (734 nucleotides) under Salmonella enterica subsp. enterica serovar Elisabethville. Its description in RNAcentral is "partial 23S ribosomal RNA". It matches the Rfam family "Bacterial large subunit ribosomal RNA", at positions 161 to 933 of the family's 2925-position model. Lineage: Bacteria; Pseudomonadati; Pseudomonadota; Gammaproteobacteria; Enterobacterales; Enterobacteriaceae. The record is from RNAcentral.
AAUCCAUAGGUUAAUGAGGCGAACCGGGGGAACUGAAACAUCUAAGUACCCCGAGGAAAAGAAAUCAACCGAGAUUCCCCCAGUAGCGGCGAGCGAACGGGGAGGAGCCCAGAGCCUGAAUCAGCAUGUGUGUUAGUGGAAGCGUCUGGAAAGGCGCGCGAUACAGGGUGACAGCCCCGUACACAAAAGCGCAUGUGCUGUGAGCUCGAUGAGUAGGGCGGGACACGUGGUAUCCUGUCUGAAUAUGGGGGGACCAUCCUCCAAGGCUAAAUACUCCUGACUGACCGAUAGUGAACCAGUACCGUGAGGGAAAGGCGAAAAGAACCCCGGCGAGGGGAGUGAAAAAGAACCUGAAACCGUGUACGUACAAGCAGUGGGAGCACAGGUUUACCUGUGUGACUGCGUACCUUUUGUAUAAUGGGUCAGCGACUUAUAUUCUGUAGCAAGGUUAACCGAAUAGGGGAGCCGGAGGGAAACCGAGUCUUAAUUGGGCGUUAAGUUGCAGGGUAUAGACCCGAAACCCGGUGAUCUAGCCAUGGGCAGGUUGAAGGUUGGGUAACACUAACUGGAGGACCGAACCGACUAAUGUUGAAAAAUUAGCGGAUGACCUGUGGCUGGGGGUGAAAGGCCAAUCAAACCGGGAGAUAGCUGGUUCUCCCCGAAAGCUAUUUAGGUAGCGCCUCGUGAACUCAUCUCCGGGGGUAGAGCACUGUUUCGGCUAGGGGGUCAUCCCG